UGCCCUUCUGGUGCUUGCAGCUCUUCAAUUGUCUGUGCAGGAGAGUGCCAAUGAUCAGUCAAAUCAGACAGAUAUGAGUAAGCUGUUGGCAGAUCAAUCGUUUGUGUCAUCAAUCCUUGCCUCGCUUCCAGGUGUUGAUCCAAACGAUCCUUCCGUUAAAGAUUUGCUUGCUUCCAUGCAAGGCCAGUCGUCUGAGCAGAAGGACGAGGACAAUGAUAAGGAACAGAAAGAGGACAAGAAGUAAAGAUGAGCACAACUAUGUGCAGCUCAGGCAAAGAAAUUCAGAAGGUAAUCAAGUAUCGUGCUGCUGAAAUUGCUCAAUGGAAUGGGGCUUGUUAUGUCUGGGAAAGGACUGUAUCCUGUUACUCUUGAGGGAUUAAUUGAAUUGUUCUUUAAAAUAUAUUGUUAU
Lycium barbarum (goji berry) is the source of this 409-nucleotide long non-coding RNA. RefSeq lists it as uncharacterized. NCBI's taxonomy places the organism in Eukaryota, Viridiplantae, Streptophyta, Magnoliopsida, Solanales, Solanaceae. The transcript is spliced from 4 exons. The record is from RefSeq and is a predicted model, not a curated record.